CAGGACCUUUGGAAGAGCUCUUGACCACUGAGCCAUCUCUCCAGGCUCUAGGACAUUCAAGAAGCCUCAGCCCAACUGAUAGAGCCAAAAUUACCUGCAGAUAUGAUGCAACUAUUCCUAAAAACAUCUCAAAUAUUUUGAAGUUGCAAGUUAAUUAUGAGAAAAGAAACAAAUGUCCAACACCCAGUUUGGGGGAAAUUUUCUAAGGCAGCCACAGGUCUAAUGUUUGCCCAAAUGGAAUCUUUGGAAUCAUAGAGAUACUCCUUCACCUCCCAGCCAGCUCCAUCAGGUCUCUUCUAUGAUAAGAACAACAGGAAGGCAGAGAGAACACGCAGAAGGUUGACAAGAAGCUGACAUGAGCCCUUGUUUCCAUAGAACAGGGGAGAAAACAGUGAACUCUCCAUGCAAAUCCAGCUCCUGGAGAAGAACCAAGUGUGGUGUGGUCUUGUCAGCCUGUUACCUGAGCAAGAGUGACAAGAUCAUGUGGGACUCACCAGGGUCUGGGUCAUUGUUCUGCACACACAACCACAGAGAGUACAACAGCAGCCUCCAGUCCCUUGUUGCUGACCUUUGAGGAAGCUGGGCAUGUAAGAUUGAAUUAAAGACCAGACGUGAUAGUAGUAGCCAACCUACUAUUUUAUAAUAUAUAUGAAUUUAAUUGGAGUUACCUGACGAAAGGGAUGAUGCUUCUCCCAGAAGCCAUGGAUUAUUAAAUAGCCCAGUGCCAAGUGUGGAACACCCCCUCCAGCUGUUGGUCAGGGCUGUUCCAGUGAUCCCCCAAAACAAUGCAGGUAUUGUUUUGAUCUUGAUUCCUAUUGUCAUUGCUCUUGAUUCCUAUUGCUUAAGACACCACACACGUUGGCCACAGGGUAUGGAGAAAUCAAGUUGACACUGACCAGAAACCUUCCUUCCUAUUACCUAGUUUUCCUAUUACCAGAAGAUACUACCAGGCUAUUGAGUGGAGGAAAGUUGUCAAUGUUCUUAUUCCUCUGUGAACUACAAUAAUGGCCAACAUGGCAAGAUAUACCCAUGGGUCAACAGUGGCAUGAAUAUCACAGAGGUAACCAAGUAACUUUAUGUUUCAAUUUAAGGCCCACUCCACAGGAGGAAACACUUGCCUAAUACUAUAAAUGUCAUCAUGAUCCCAUGGUUGGCGAGUUCAGAGGUCCCAGAGGUGAAACUACAACCACCACCACCACCACCACCACUACCACCACCACCACCACAACUAACACCAUCACCACCACUAACACCACCACCACCACCACCACCAUCACC
Microtus oregoni (creeping vole) is the source of this 1278-nucleotide long non-coding RNA. RefSeq lists it as uncharacterized. The transcript has 7 exons. The record is from RefSeq and is a predicted model, not a curated record. NCBI's taxonomy places the organism in Eukaryota, Metazoa, Chordata, Mammalia, Rodentia, Cricetidae.